This 310-nucleotide small nuclear RNA is filed under the name Neotoma lepida (desert woodrat). RNAcentral's name for it is "7SK RNA". It matches the Rfam family "7SK RNA". From Rfam's summary of the family: 7SK was discovered as an abundant small nuclear RNA in the mid-70s but a possible function has only recently been suggested. Two independent studies have found that 7SK RNA binds the CDK9/cyclin T complex (known as elongation factor P-TEFb). P-TEFb activates transcription by phosphorylating the C-terminal domain of RNA polymerase II. The record is from Rfam by way of RNAcentral. Lineage: Eukaryota; Metazoa; Chordata; Mammalia; Rodentia; Cricetidae.
GAGUAUAUUGACAACCAUGACAUCUGCCACCCCAUUGGUUGCCAGGAUUGAUUUGGUUGAUCUGGCUGGCUUGGCAGGUGUCCCCUUCCCGCCUCACUGCUCCAUGUGCCUCCCUCCCGAAGCUUCNAGCUGGAUUCAAGAGGGGGACCUUCCCUGAACAGAGGAGGACUGGUCUUUGGUUAAGGGUAUAAGAGUAGCUGUGCUCCCUUGCAAGAACCGACAAAGAAGCUCUCAAGAAAUUUACUUUCAUUUUCCUACUUACUCUACAUGUAAUUCAAAACAUCUUCUAACAUUUUUUAUGAAGACUGUU